This 301-nucleotide ribosomal RNA is filed under the name uncultured bacterium. RNAcentral's name for it is "partial 16S ribosomal RNA". It matches the Rfam family "Bacterial small subunit ribosomal RNA", at positions 509 to 807 of the family's 1533-position model. The record is from RNAcentral.
CAGCCGCCACGGGAAUACAGAGGAUGCAAGCGUUAUCCGGAAUGAUUGGGCGUAAAGCGUCUGUAGGUGGCUUUUCAAGUCCGCCGUCAAAUCCCAGGGCUCAACCCUGGACAGGCGGUGGAAACUACCAAGCUGGAGUACGGUAGGGGAAGAGGGAAUUUCCGGUGGAGCGAUGAAAUGCGUUGAGAUCGGAAAGAACACCAACGGCGAAAGCACUCUGCUGGGCCGACACUGACACUGAGAGACGAAAGCUAGGGGAGCAAAUGGGAUUAGAUACCCCCGUAGUCCCUGUCUCUUAUAC